UGGGGAAUAUUGGGCAAUGGGCGCAAGCCUGACCCAGCAACGCCGCGUGAAGGAAGAAGGCUUUCGGGUUGUAAACUCCUGUCUUUGGGGACGAUAAUGACGGUACCCAAGGAGGAAGCCACGGCUAACUACGUGCCAGCAGCCGCGGUAAAACGUAGGUGGCAAGCGUUGUCCGGAAUUACUGGGUGUAAAGGGAGCGCAGGCGGAGCGGCAAGUUUGGAGGUGAAACCCCAUGGGGCUCAACCCCAUGAACUGCCUUCAAAAAUCUGUCGGGUCUUGAGUGGUGUAGAGGUAAGCGGAAUUCCCGGUGUAGCGGUGGAAUGCGUAGAUAUCGGGGAGGAACACCAGUGGCGAAGGCGGCUUACUGGGCACUAACUGACGCUGAGGCUCGAAAGCAUGGGUAGCAAACAGGAUUAGAUACCC
RNAcentral lists this ribosomal RNA (423 nucleotides) under uncultured bacterium. RNAcentral describes it as "bacterial SSU rRNA". It matches the Rfam family "Bacterial small subunit ribosomal RNA", at positions 355 to 787 of the family's 1533-position model. The record is from RNAcentral.